GCCCUUCGGGGUACUCGAGCGGCGAACGGGUGAGUAACACGUGAGCAACCUCCCCUAGGCUUUGGGAUAACCCCGGGAAACCGGGGCUAAUACCGAAUAUGACCUCCGAUCGCAUGGUUGGUGGUGGAAAGUUUUUCGGCCUGGGAUGGGCUCGCGGCCUAUCAGCUUGUUGGUGGGGUGAUGGCCUACCAAGGCGACGACGGGUAGCCGGCCUGAGAGGGCGACCGGCCACACUGGGACUGAGACACGGCCCAGACUCCUACGGGAGGCAGCAGUGGGGAAUAUUGCACAAUGGGCGGAAGCCUGAUGCAGCGACGCCGCGUGAGGGAUGACGGCCUUCGGGUUGUAAACCUCUUUCAGCAGGGACGAAGCGUAAGUGACGGUACCUGCAGAAGAAGCGCCGGCCAACUACGUGCCAGCAGCCGCGGUAAGACGUAGGGCGCGAGCGUUGUCCGGAUUUAUUGGGCGUAAAGAGCUCGUAGGCGGCUUGUCGCGUCGACUGUGAAAACCCGCAGCUCAACUGCGGGCCUGCAGUCGAUACGGGCAGGCUAGAGUUCGGUAGGGGAGACUGGAAUUCCUGAGCGGUGAAAUGCGCAGAUAUCAGGAGGAACACCGGUGGCGAAGGCGGGUCUCUGGGCCGAUACUGACGCU
This 651-nucleotide ribosomal RNA is filed under the name Micromonospora citrea. RNAcentral describes it as "bacterial SSU rRNA". It matches the Rfam family "Bacterial small subunit ribosomal RNA", at positions 75 to 747 of the family's 1533-position model. The record is from RNAcentral. Lineage: Bacteria; Bacillati; Actinomycetota; Actinomycetes; Micromonosporales; Micromonosporaceae.